UAAAAAUGGUUUUGAAUGAAUGAUGAAAUUAAAAGACAACAAAUCUAUGUUAUGAUAAUGAAACUAUGAAAAUAAUAAAGCACAAACAUAACAAAAAAAAAUGUUGAAAGAAAUAAAAUACUAAAAGAAAAUAAAAUGCUAAAAGAAAAUAAAAUGCUAAAAGAAAAAUAAAAUACUAAAAAAAAUGCUACACAUGAGUAUUGAACCCACUCCACUCAAGAUUAUGGAAACCACCUCUCUCCACCAGACCACUCUUGACUAGUUGUUAUUUACAAUGCUAAUUUAAAUAUAUAAACCAAAAUAGAUUAAACAUUAGAAUAAAAACUAAAAUAAAAAAAAAGUCUGUUGGACUACCAGUAGUUAAACCCAGCCGCUUGGCUGUUGGGUUCAAAAGGUUAGGAAUUGGGAACACUAAAUAGAAUUUAACUAAAACUAAUACCAAUAAACUAUAGUUAAUGACCAUUUGAAACUCUAAACGUUCAACCAUUGGGAUUUAAAGGCUCUGCUAAAAAAAGGAAACAAUAAUGAAUAAAUAAUAAAAAAAGAAAAAAAAGAAAAGGUGAGGACACGAAGGAAAGUCCAGAAUCCCAAUCGUCCUCCUCUCUCAAUCUGCUUCACAAAGAAACACUCUCAAUCGCUCUCAAUGAAAACUCCCUCUGCUCUCGCACCCCUAACCUUCACCGUCAACCUUCGCUCAUCCUUCACAAUCUCUCACAACCUCUCAUUCGCUCACCUCUCAACAAUCUCUCUUAAAAUCGCC
This 760-nucleotide long non-coding RNA is filed under the name Lathyrus oleraceus (garden pea). RNAcentral's name for it is "Pisum sativum (pea) long non-coding RNA (PSAT_LNC035106)". The record is from RNAcentral. Lineage: Eukaryota; Viridiplantae; Streptophyta; Magnoliopsida; Fabales; Fabaceae.